AACGAACGCUGGCGGCAUGCCUAACACAUGCAAGUCGAACGAGACCUUCGGGUCUAGUGGCGCACGGGUGCGUAACGCGUGGGAACCUGCCCUUAGGUUCGGAAUAACUCCCCGAAAGGGGUGCUAAUACCGGAUAAUGUCUUCGGACCAAAGAUUUAUCGCCUUUGGAUGGGCCCGCGUUGGAUUAGCUAGUUGGUAGGGUAAAAGCCUACCAAGGCGACGAUCCAUAGCUGGUCUGAGAGGAUGAUCAGCCACACUGGGACUGAGACACGGCCCAGACUCGGACGGGAGGCAGCAGUAGGGAAGACUCCGCAACGGGCGACAGCCGGAUGGGGCAAAGCCGCGUGAGUUAUGAAGGUCUUCUGAUCGGAAAACACUGUUAUGAGGGAAGAACAACUGGCUAAGUAAAUAUGCACGUCGUGACGUUACCUAAUAAGAAAGCCAGGGCGAACGACGAG
This 458-nucleotide ribosomal RNA is filed under the name uncultured bacterium. RNAcentral's name for it is "partial 16S ribosomal RNA". It matches the Rfam family "Bacterial small subunit ribosomal RNA", at positions 29 to 507 of the family's 1533-position model. The record is from RNAcentral.